Molecule: unclassified non-coding RNA, 304 nt
Filed under: Hevea brasiliensis (rubber tree)
Lineage: Eukaryota; Viridiplantae; Streptophyta; Magnoliopsida; Malpighiales; Euphorbiaceae
Source: RNAcentral
AUUCAGUUGUUUUCACCACCCAACGUAUAAAAGGAUAGCAAUAAAUUUUAAUAGAAAAUUGAACCCAUUAGGCACAAGCAGCCGCAGAUUAUUUACUUCUUGUUUGGGCCGUAGCUUGGGCUUUUGGGUUCAUUCUCUAUGCCAAAUCUUAUUUGUUUGUUUUUCAAAAAAAAAAAAUUGUUUGUAUUUUCUACAAUAGGCUGAAAAUGAAAUAUUUAGUUCAUUGAGAUAUUUUUCAAAUACUUGUUUUUUUACAAGUUCUAAUAUUUUGAACUUUUCAACAGUGACAUACACAAUUUACAGA